GGAUUGGGAAAGUUGACAUUAAUCAACUCAUUAUUCCUCACAGAUUUGUAUUCUCCAGAGUAUCCAGGUCCUUCUCAGAGAAUUAAAAAGCCUGUACAGGUCUAGAUAUUGGUAUUUUUAAUUGAUGAUAAGCUGGAAUAAUAUUAAUACACACAAAGCACGUGUUGUAACUUUCAUUAUGCUUCCUUAGAGCUCUGUUCACGGAAAGGGCCUGGGAGCUGCAACACCUCAACAGCAACAAGCACACCUGCUACCUAGAACUUGGUUUCUAAAAACCAUCCUCCUCUAAAAGGAAACAGAGCUCUUUGAAGAAACGGUAAUUUCAAAGCUAGAGCACAGAAAGUAUAAGAUGAGCCCAGAAUAUCUUUUUGUACAAGAAAGUAAGGCAAUGCUCAAAGAAUGAUGGAGACAUGCCCAAAAAAAGCAGAGAAGCCAACUUGAAAAGAUUCCAACAGGCCAAAUAUGGGGCGAUUUGAACAUCAGAAUAAAAUGGUGACAGUCACAGAAUUAUAA
RNAcentral lists this long non-coding RNA (513 nucleotides) under Homo sapiens (human). Its description in RNAcentral is "non-protein coding lnc-SAMD11-7:13". The record is from RNAcentral. Lineage: Eukaryota; Metazoa; Chordata; Mammalia; Primates; Hominidae.